GACGAACGCUGGCGGCGUGCUUAACACAUGCAAGUCGAACGCGCCUGUCCUCUGGGUUUCUGGGGGGUGGGUGAGUGGCGAACGGGUGAGUAACACGUGAGUAACCUGCCCCCUUCUUCGGGAUAACGGUCUGAAAGGGCUGCUAAUACCGGGUAUUCACUGGUCUCCGCAUGGGGUCUGGUGGAAAGGUUUUUUUCUGGUGGGGGAUGGGCUCGCGGCCUAUCAGCUUGUUGGUGGGGUGAUGGCCCACCAAGGCUUUGACGGGUAGCCGGCCUGAGAGGGUGACCGGUCACAUUGGGACUGAGAUACGGCCCAGACUCCUACGGGAGGCAGCAGUGGGGAAUAUUGCACAAUGGGCGCAAGCCUGAUGCAGCGACGCCGCGUGAGGGAUGGGGGCCUUCGGGUUGUGAACCUCUUUCGCCCGUGGUCAAGCCGCGACGUGGGUCGUGGUGAGGGUAGUGGGUAAAGAAGCGCCGGCUAACUACGUG
Molecule: ribosomal RNA, 488 nt
Filed under: uncultured bacterium
Lineage: Bacteria
Description: partial 16S ribosomal RNA
Rfam family: Bacterial small subunit ribosomal RNA
Source: RNAcentral